This 467-nucleotide ribosomal RNA is filed under the name uncultured bacterium. RNAcentral's name for it is "partial 16S ribosomal RNA". It matches the Rfam family "Bacterial small subunit ribosomal RNA", at positions 29 to 507 of the family's 1533-position model. The record is from RNAcentral.
ACGAACGCUGGCGGCGUGCUUAACACAUGCCAGUCGAACGGAAAGGCCCUGCUUUUGUGGGGUGCUCGAGUGGCGAACGGGUGAGUAACACGUGAGUAACCUGCCCUUGACUUUGGGAUAACUUCAGGAAACUGGGGCUAAUACCGGAUAGGAGCUCCUGCUGCAUGGUGGGGGUUGGAAAGUUUCGGCGGUUGGGGAUGGACUCGCGGCUUAUCAGCUUGUUGGUGGGGUAGUGGCUUACCAAGGCUUUGACGGGUAGCCGGCCUGAGAGGGUGACCGGCCACAUUGGGACUGAGAUACGGCCCAGACUCCUACGGGAGGCAGCAGUGGGGAAUAUUGCACAAUGGGCGGAAGCCUGAUGCAGCCACGCCGCGUGCGGGAUGACGGCCUUCGGGUUGUAAACCGCUUUCGCCUGUGACGAAGCGUGAGUGACGGUAAUGGGUAAAGAAGCACCGGCUAACUACGUG